GGGGGCAUAACUCAGUUGGUAGAGUAGUUGGCUUUUAACCAAUAAGUCCCAGGUUCAAGUCCUGGUGCCCUCACCA
RNAcentral lists this transfer RNA (76 nucleotides) under Planctomycetota bacterium. RNAcentral's name for it is "Planctomycetes bacterium (marine metagenome) tRNA-Lys". It matches the Rfam family "tRNA". From Rfam's summary of the family: Transfer RNA (tRNA) molecules are approximately 80 nucleotides in length. Their secondary structure includes four short double-helical elements and three loops (D, anti-codon, and T loops). RNAcentral also lists the same sequence under 1 other name. Lineage: Bacteria; Pseudomonadati; Planctomycetota. The record is from RNAcentral.